Molecule: long non-coding RNA, 4901 nt
Filed under: Sus scrofa (pig)
Lineage: Eukaryota; Metazoa; Chordata; Mammalia; Artiodactyla; Suidae
Description: lncRNA (ENSSSCG00000054165.1)
Source: RNAcentral
UCCAUUGACUUAAAAAAAAAAGAAAGGGCAUGAUUUCGUUGAGCUGCCAGACUCCCAUCUCCUCUUCGGAUUUCCAGUCUCCACACUUUUACAUUUUAGGUGUUUGGGUUUGAGUUUAAGAUAACUUAGCUAAAACUGUUUUUCUCCCAAAUACGCAUUUAUUUCAAACCCUCUAUUUACCAGAUGAAGAAACUCAAGAUCAGAAAUAUGAAGUGCCUUUCUCAAGAACAUACAACUAGCUAGAAGUAGGGGAAGGGCUGAAACCAACCUCUCAAAAUUCUUAGUCCCAUACUACUUCUUAAAAAUAUAAACAAAAGUAAGAUAAGUAAAACUGAUGAUAACCAACAUGUUAUCGUAUGCCUUAUUGUUCCUCGUGCCAAAAGAUUUUCAUUUUUCAUAUUUACAUCUCCACAAGGCCAUAUGAAGUGGGUAUUAUUACUCUGCAUUAAAGGAUUUGAGACCUGGAGAGGUUAAGUCAGCCUCUGGUUACAGAACUAGUAAGGGACAGAGGUAAAAUUCUUCCCCAGGGCAACUUGGUCUAGAACCUUUGGAGCAUAUUUGAGAAGAGAGAGGUGAAGUAAGAGAAAAGCAGUUGCCCUGCCCCAUAUCCCCCAGCCAACCUGAGGCCACCUGCAGCUGCAGGGGAAAGCAGUUUACAGCAUGCCAGCAGCUUUCCUCCUUAAGCACCUGCAGCUCAAUUCUCCUGCUUGAUGCCCACCCUCCAUGAGUACACUGGUGUCAACAGAAGGUCAGGCGAACUCAUGUCCCUGGGCACCCUCCACCAUGGGGAAUGGGAGUUAAUGCCCAAUGGGGUGAUUAAUGCCCAAUGGGGUAAUUUUGAGGUGUGUUUUACAUGGUUUCUUAGAGCGUUCCCAGGGCCCUCAGGUGCCCUCAGUAGCGAAUCCUCACUGAUGCAUGGGUUAUUGGCUUUCUCCCUUUCUUAUAGCAUGUUCCCGCUGCUUCAAGUCUACUCCCAAGGAUCACUGGGAGUAGACUUGUACUAAAUAAACUGCUUCUGAAGUUUUUGUCUCAGGAGCUCUUUUGGGAGGAAUCCAAACUAAGACACUAGUUUAGAGGGACCUAAGUAGAGCCCUUGAACAUUCCAUGGAGAGGGUUAGUGUUCUAGGCAUUCUGCCUUGACUCUCCAAAAGGGAAGAGGACAGAAAUGUGUAAAGAGAUGUGUACAAAGAUGAACGUUUUCAAGGACUUAAUGAGAAGUUAAAAAAAAAAAAUCAGUCUUUAAAAUGUCAUUUGUAAGAUCUUGACAGCAGUACCUCUUGGCAUGUAGACCUAUCUGCAGAGGGUUAAAGUAGGUGGGUGAACUGAACAGCCUCUGGAUGAAGGGGGAUGCGUUCAGAAAACACAGGAGGGGGACUCCUUCUUUGUCUUGCGGUAUGAUUCAGUCCAUCCCUCAUUUUGUGCCUUCAUCUCAUUUAGAGAUAAGAUGAUGCUCCUUGUUUCACCGUAUUUCCAAAGGUUCUGACAGUGGAAGGUAGCAUAGCACCUUUAUGUAUUCUCAAGGAGCUUCUGAAGCUUAAUCCUUAAGCAUUGGUUCUAAUAAUUUUCCCCAAGGAACUGGCUUAAUCAAUUUCUGUAAUCACCAGCCAGAUAUAGGAUUUUGAUGACUUCCUAAAUGCUUUAGAAGCAUAAUCCCCGCUAUGUUGGGAUUAAGGCAUCCCAUUUUUAUUUAGUUUGAUUUUAUUGAAUGCCUCUUCUACUAAAAGGGGUGGAUGACAUACAUUUUUUUUUCUUAAAGAAUAAAUACAUUGAGGUUAAUUUGCUUAGAUAUUUUUGGAGAAAAAGGUCCAUGUCUCUUGAGAUAACUUGAGAUUAUAUUGGACAUCCCUCUCUGUGUCUCAAUUAGGACUGAGGAUGGACACUGUAGGAUGGAUGCACCUCUAUUUUAUAGGUAUGUUUGGAGGACUAAAUGAGAUGAGGUGCUCAGCACAAUGCCUUCCGUGUGGUGAGUGGUCAACAAAUAUUAUGAGGAAGAUAAUGAUGAUAAUGAAUCAAUGAUAUUUUCACAUAAAGCAACAAUUUUCUUCCGUGGAUUCCAAAAACAAUUCUUCUUUAAUGUCAAUUAUGUAAAAUUAUUUACAAGGAAAUCAUUUUAUACCUUGUUUCCUAUUGUGUUCUUGCUGCAGUUAAAUUAUAUUAAACUUUAUUUCAGUUUCUCUCAAAACCUUGGUUGCUGGAAAUUUACCCAGUGGCUGAACAUGAUAGUAGCAUCUGCUUUAGAUAGAAUAUCCCUACAGACUAUCAGGCAGCAACAUCUCUUAAUAAAUCUUGAGCCUGGUCUGAAGUUUAAUGACUUUGAAGGCAGCUAUAGUUGGCCAGUCAACCAAAGACACAUCAACUUUAUUAAUAAGAUUUUGUGGCGUUCUUAUCUAUUUAUGCAUCAGUGUGCAUCCUAGCGACAGAACCCUUCUCCGCGCUGCCCAUGAACAUUUUCGCUCUCUGGUUUCUGUGAUACUUUCUGAGUACAGAUAGAUUUAUGUGCUCUACUAUAGGCACGCACAGUGAUUUUCAUCACUUAGGGCAUUUCAGCCCUUUCCUUAUGAAAAAAUAACUUAGUAAAUGUACUUGACUUUAGACACCUUAUGUAUUUUCUUGGGAGAAACUGUGAAGUCAUUAAAAAAGUUUGAUGUGUACCCUAAAUUCACCAGAUCUGUAGGACAAAUCCCAGCAACCCAGAUGUUGUUGUGCUCUGCAUACCUGUGAAGGCUCCCUCUAACCCAGAACAGGAGGUGCGGAGAAGGCCCGGGAGCCAGGAUGCUUCCAGUAGGGGCGUACACAAAGCCAUUCCCUUAGCCUGAGGCAGUGUCGCCUCUCCCACCUGCCCCCACACCCAUCAGCCUGUGAUCCCCCUUCACUCAGCUCAAGCGCUGUAACUAGAGACCCAGCGAUACAUAAAUAUAGACCUCUGAGCUGUUUCCAAAAUCUCAGUUAUUUACGCAGUUCAAGGAGAGUAAUUUGGUGUUGGGGGGAAUAAUUUUCUCAGCAGGUUCAUGCAGCUACAAACCAGGAAGGUGCUAGAGAUUGUUUAAAAUCAUGGCUUUAGAGUCAUUCAGACCCGGGUUAGCUUCCUGUUAGGACCCUUACUACUUUGCCACCCUGGACAAGCUCCUGAACCUCUUUGAUUCUUAAUUGCUCCAUUUCUAAAAUUGGGUUAAUGGUAACAAAGAUGAUGACAGUAAUUACCCUUUGUUAAGUGCUCACAGUGCCCUGAGAACUGUACAAAGUGCUUCCUGUACAUCUUUUGGCCACCUUCACAACUCUUUGAGGCUCUAUGCAUCACAACAUCACAACAGAUUCUGCUCUGUGAGAGUAGUUACUGCACUGUCCAUGACAAAUGCCACCACCACUGUUAUUCCAGAGAAAGCUCUUUCAUUCCCGCCCCAGACACUGCUGCCAGGAUGUGAAGAAUAUUUUCAUACGCUUUCUUCAGGCACCAAAUCCUUUCCCUUUUUGUUCUAGUGCUUGAUACACCCAAGAUGCACCAAUACAAAGAGAUUUUGUUACAUCAUUUAUUUUUCUGAGAGUUGUGUAGUUCACAUAAUUGUGUCUAACAUUAUUUAGGGAUGUUGAGCUGCUCUACUCCAGCUUUACUUAGUGAAAAAACCUAGGUCAGGAAUUUUUCUAUAGAAUAAGGCUGCCUUAAAACUGAACAAAAAUUUUAAAGACAUAAAAAUAAAAGCAUCAAUGACAAAAAUAAUCUUCCCAAUAAUCCUAUAAAAGUCCCUCAGACUUAAGUAUUGAAUUUUCUUUGACAUUGUCAGGAGAUGAUGUAAUUCAAGCUGUUCUUUAUGCAGCAAUCCUUUGUGACUCUAGCUCUAUUUUACCAGCAAUCUGUUCUAUUAAUGCAGGUGCCUGAGGAGCAGCAGUCCUGAUCAAGACAAGGCAGUCAGCCUCCAGGAAGGUAAAUUUUCCACUGCCAAAGACAAUAUAACAUCCAUCUCUACCUUUGGCUAUAAUUUAUUAGUGGUGUUUGGGUGGUAAUUUAACCCAUAAUGCAUUGCUUUCCAAAUUGCAGUAUGCUAAACAUCAAGUAAGCUAUCUUACAUGAUUAAACAGGCUGAAGAAACCCUGGAGUGCUUGUUACUAGCACACAGAAGCAUUUUAUCAUAGGUAGUGUCAUAGACUACAUUACACUCUAAACUCCUGAACCCAUCCUGAGAAAUAUCACAGACACGGAAUUACUCAUCCUUUCCUAAAGUGGCAUAUUUAUUUUAGUUGAAAAUUGUAAUUUUCUACAACCUGAAGUCAAGACUCUUUAAUCAGGCACUUUUGCAUAUAAGUAUAUGCAAUGCACAACUAUCUUAAUUUCCAUAGAGAGAUGAGUAGAAAAGCAAACUAACUUCAGAAACUUCACUGCUCUUGGAAUACAGGCUCAACUGCAGUAUUGCUUAACUCAUGUGGGUGGGAGCUUCAGGUGAGGGGAACCCAUUUGCUCACCUUGGGGAGAUUUGGCUUUGGGCUGCCAUUUGGAGGUGUCUCCUGUUGAGGACUGUGAGUGGAAAGUCCAAUUUAGAGCCUUUUUCAAGAAGACUGUGGAAUCCUCUCCUGCAGGCAUUGAAAGUAGGCACAACCCAGGGAGCGGAUUGGUACCUGGGAUUGGCCAGAGGCACGGAUUGGCCUGGGUGACUUUACAAGAUUUCUUCUAGUUUAAUGAAGUCUCUUCUGAGAGACUGUGAUGCACCACUCACUCCAAAACCCAAAGAUCAUCAAGAGAGAGCUAAAGGGAGCCAUGCCUGCGAUAUUUUCAGCUAGUUCAGUGAAAUGGUGAUGAGACGAUUUGCAGAUUUAGUGCAAAUCAGAAUCACCUGUUGAGCUUGUUCAACACAUCGAUGUCCUGGGCCCAAUCUAUAAAGAUUUUGAUUCAGGAGUUUUGUCACAGGGCC